Molecule: long non-coding RNA, 1180 nt
Organism: Lepidothrix coronata (blue-crowned manakin)
Lineage: Eukaryota; Metazoa; Chordata; Aves; Passeriformes; Pipridae
Exons: 6
Source: RefSeq, a predicted model, not a curated record
GUCCCCGCGUGGCGGUGGCCCCGCACCUCGGUGUGUGGGCUGUGCCAGGGCACGGUGCUGUGCCAGGAGCCGGUGCUGUCCCCAGGUGAUAGUGCUGUGCCAGGGAAUGGCCUCAGCCCUCCUCAGAGCAGCGUGCUGCGUGCUGGCCAGGUGCUACCUCCCCUGAACGCCGCGCGGCCCUACCGCGGUCUCUGCUUCAGGAAUCUCAGAUGGAGGAAUUGAGCAGAACACAUGGGGAAUUUGCUUUCAGAACUGAAGCUCAGCAGGACUUGGUUCUCUCCAUGAGUGACAGAAUCCUUCACAGUGAGUUCCCAGCAUAUUGAAAACUUUCAAAGGAUGAAAUGGAUUGGUUUGGCAGAUCUGAAGAGCCUGAAUUAAUCCCCUGGUUAGAGCAUUUGAGCACUGCUGAUGUGGAACAGCACAGCCAGCAACGUAAAGAUGUAACUGUGAAGUUGAAGCACAGUUCACUCAUCUCACAGUUCCCAGCUCUGAAGAGCAUAAAUAAAAGUCCUUGCACACCCAGAAAACACCUUCCAGGAGAUCAGUAAACCUCCAGAAAGGUCUGGAAGAUUGCAGAUGUACUCAGUGAUUUCCAAAAUUUCAAGAUGGUUAAUUCCAAGGAAACAAGAAACUUCAGGUGGACAUGGAAGGAGGAUUUAAACAAACUGACAGUUUGUCUUCAGAGGAUCUCCCUACAGAGCUCAGAGAGCCCCAGAGUUGAGGCCAGAAGGGACAAUUCCACCCAAGAUCCCCAUCUUGGGUCACACAGGAACGUCCUUCAUUCAGCAGUUCUGCACCAGGUCCCAAAUCCCGAUUCACUGAAACCACACGAUGAGAAAAUCAUUGCAUCUUAAUUUGAAGUGAUUCACAGAAAGUACAGCACUGCUGGGAGUGAAUCAAAGUCCUAUAAAUAAAAUGCUGUAACCUUAAUGUAAAAAGUGCAUCUCGACUCUAAUUUGUGAUGGCAAAACUUCCAGCCACUGGUGCCUUUUAUAUCUUUUAAUUAGUUUCAUUUUCCAAACCUUAAACCCUGCAGUGGUUUGCAGCUCCAUGAACAGAUGGCCUCUGUGUUUCUUUACAUUUGGUAGGAUUUGGGAGCUAAUGGGAUGGCUCUGUCUAAAAUUUUGUAGCUGCUUUGGAGCCGUAUUCUAAAACUUCACCCUAAGUGUUACUGUUCAUC